UGGGGAAUAUUGCACAAUGGGGAGGACCCUGAUGCAGCGACGCCGCGUGAGUGAAGAAGUCAUUCGUGAUGUAAAGCUCUAUCAGCAGGGAAAAAUAAGGAUGGUACCUGAGUAAGAAGCCCCGCUAACUACGUGCCAGCAGCCGCGGUAAUACGUAGGGGGCAAGCGUUAUCCGGAUUUACUGGGUGUAAAGGGAGCGUAGACGGCUGUGCAAGUCUGGAGUGAAAGCCCGCGGCUCAACUGCGGGACUGCUCUGGAAACUGUACAGCUGGAGUGCGGGAGGGGUAAGCGAAUUCCUAGUGUAGCGGUGAAAUGCGUAGAUAUUAGGAGGAACACCGGCGGCGAAGGCGGCUUACUGGACCGUAACUGACGUUGAGGCUCGAAAGCGUGGGGAGCAAACAGGAUUAGAUACCC
RNAcentral lists this ribosomal RNA (414 nucleotides) under uncultured bacterium. Its description in RNAcentral is "bacterial SSU rRNA". It matches the Rfam family "Bacterial small subunit ribosomal RNA", at positions 355 to 787 of the family's 1533-position model. The record is from RNAcentral.